RNAcentral lists this ribosomal RNA (426 nucleotides) under uncultured bacterium. RNAcentral's name for it is "bacterial SSU rRNA". It matches the Rfam family "Bacterial small subunit ribosomal RNA", at positions 64 to 507 of the family's 1533-position model. The record is from RNAcentral.
GAACGAGAAAGUGGAGCAAUCCAUGAGUAAAGUGGCGACCGGGUGAGUAACACGUGACUAACCUGCCCUAGAGUGGGGGAUAACCUCGGGAAACCGGGGCUAAUACCGCAUAACAUCGCGAGGUGAAAUUCCUUGUGAUCAAAGGAGCAAUUCGCUCAAGGAGGGGGUCGCGGCUGAUUAGUUAGUUGGUGAGGUAACGGCUCACCAAGACUUAGAUCAGUAGCCGGCCUGAGAGGGCGCACGGCCACACUGGAACUGAAACACGGUCCAGACUCCUACGGGAGGCAGCAGUGGGGAAUUUUGCGCAAUGGGGGAAACCCUGACGCAGCAACGCCGCGUGGAGGAUGAAGUCCCUUGGGAUGUAAACUCCUUUCGAUCGGGACGAUUAUGACGGUACCGGAAGAAGAAGCACCGGCUAACUCUGUG